RNAcentral lists this ribosomal RNA (434 nucleotides) under uncultured bacterium. Its description in RNAcentral is "bacterial SSU rRNA". It matches the Rfam family "Bacterial small subunit ribosomal RNA", at positions 355 to 787 of the family's 1533-position model. The record is from RNAcentral.
UGAGGAAUAUUGGUCAAUGGGGGAAUCCUGAACCAGCCAUGCCGCGUGCAGGACGACGGCUCUACGAGUUGUAAACUGCUUUUGUGCCGGGGUAAAAUGCUCUACGAGUAGGGUUUUGAAAGUACGGUACGAAUAAGGAUCGGCUAACUCCGUGCCAGCAGCCGCGGUAAUACGGAGGAUCCGAGCGUUAUCCGGAUUCAUUGGGUUUAAAGGGUGCGUAGGUUGUUUUAUAAGUUAGCGGUGAAAUACCGAUGCUCAACAUCGGGGCUGCCGCUAAUACUGUAGGACUAGAGAUCGGAUGCAGCAGGCGGAAUGUGUAGUGUAGCGGUGAAAUGCAUAGAUAUUACACAGAACACCGAUUGCGAAGGCAGCUUGCUAGGCCGGAUCUGACACUGAUGCACGAAAGCGUGGGGAUCGAACAGGAUUAGAUACCC